RNAcentral lists this ribosomal RNA (492 nucleotides) under uncultured bacterium. RNAcentral describes it as "partial 16S ribosomal RNA". It matches the Rfam family "Bacterial small subunit ribosomal RNA", at positions 29 to 507 of the family's 1533-position model. The record is from RNAcentral.
AGUGAACGCUGGCGGUAGGCCUAACACAUGCAAGUCGAACGGCAGCACAGUAAGAGCUUGCUCUUACGGGUGGCGAGUGGCGGACGGGUGAGGAAUACAUCGGAAUCUACUUUUUCGUGGGGGAUAACGUAGGGAAACUUACGCUAAUACCGCAUACGACCUACGGGUGAAAGCAGGGGAUCUUCGGACCUUGCGCGAUUGAAUGAGCCGAUGUCGGAUUAGCUAGUUGGCGGGGUAAAGGCCCACCAAGGCGACGAUCCGUAGCUGGUCUGAGAGGAUGAUCAGCCACACUGGAACUGAGACACGGUCCAGACUCCUACGGGAGGCAGCAGUGGGGAAUAUUGGACAAUGGGCGCAAGCCUGAUCCAGCCAUACCGCGUGGGUGAAGAAGGCCUUCGGGUUGUAAAGCCCUUUUGUUGGGAAAGAAAAGCAGCAGGUUAAUACCCCGCUGUUCUGACGGUACCCAAAGAAUAAGCACCGGCUAACUUCCUG